UCCGACUCUUUAGCACCACGCAGUUUAGAGUCGGUAUUGCAGCUAUUGGAGCCCCCGAGGAUCAAAAAGGUUUUUUUUUAUCAUUAUUUAAAACUUUAUUAACAAAUAUAACAAAUACAAUACAAAAUCGUGUUGCUGUAAACGGCAGCAUGUCAUCAUCUAAUUCCAGCUUUCAAGUCAGCGAACAGAGUCAGAUAUCAUCCGAUGGUUCAUCAGUGGAGA
Molecule: non-coding RNA, 222 nt
Organism: Nothobranchius furzeri (turquoise killifish)
Lineage: Eukaryota; Metazoa; Chordata; Actinopteri; Cyprinodontiformes; Nothobranchiidae
Source: RefSeq, a predicted model, not a curated record